GCCUACGGGAGGCAGCAGUAGGGAAUUUUCGUCAAUGGGCGCAAGCCUGAACGAGCAAUGCCGCGUGAACGAGGAAGGUCUUUGGAUCGUAAAGUUCUGUUGAAGGGGAAAAAGAGCGGAGAGAGGAAAUGCUUUCUGAUUGAUAUUACCCUUCGAGGAAGUCACGGCUAACUACGUGCCAGCAGCCGCGGUAAUACGUAGGUGGCGAGCGUUAUCCGGAAUGAUUGGGCGUAAAGGGUGCGUAGGCGGCCUGCUAAGUCUGGAGUGAAAGGUACCGGCUCAACCGGUACAGGCUCUGGAAACUG
RNAcentral lists this ribosomal RNA (305 nucleotides) under uncultured bacterium. Its description in RNAcentral is "bacterial SSU rRNA". It matches the Rfam family "Bacterial small subunit ribosomal RNA", at positions 337 to 635 of the family's 1533-position model. The record is from RNAcentral.